Molecule: microRNA precursor, 84 nt
Filed under: Bombyx mori (domestic silkworm)
Lineage: Eukaryota; Metazoa; Arthropoda; Insecta; Lepidoptera; Bombycidae
Description: mir-2807 microRNA precursor family
Rfam family: mir-2807 microRNA precursor family
Source: Rfam by way of RNAcentral
UUAACUCAUAUUUGUAUGGAAUGGGAUCGUUUGCGUACGUUUGUCGCUAGGGGCGCUGUUCCAACUGCAUACAAAAUUGGCUUA